Molecule: ribosomal RNA, 253 nt
Filed under: uncultured bacterium
Lineage: Bacteria
Description: partial 16S ribosomal RNA
Rfam family: Bacterial small subunit ribosomal RNA
Source: RNAcentral
UACGUAGGUGGCAAGCGUUGUCCGGAUUUACUGGGCGUAAAGAGCGCGCAGGCGGUCGUUCAAGUCGCGUGUGAAAGCCCCCGGCUCAACUGGGGAGGGUCACGCGAUACUGAUCGACUCGAAGGCAGGAGAGGGUAGUGGAAUUCCCGGUGUAGUGGUGAAAUUCGUAGAUAUUGGGAAGAACACCGGUGGCGAAGGCGGCGACCUGGUCCGAUACUGACGCUGAGGCGCGAAAGCGUGGGGAGCAAACAGG